GGGCGUAUAGCUCAGUUGGUUAGAGCGCUUGCUCGACACGCAAGAGGUCACAGGUUCGAGUCCUGUUACGCCCA
Molecule: transfer RNA, 74 nt
Filed under: Acidimicrobiia bacterium
Lineage: Bacteria; Bacillati; Actinomycetota; Acidimicrobiia
Description: tRNA-Val
Rfam family: tRNA
About the family: Transfer RNA (tRNA) molecules are approximately 80 nucleotides in length. Their secondary structure includes four short double-helical elements and three loops (D, anti-codon, and T loops).
Source: RNAcentral